This 3423-nucleotide long non-coding RNA is filed under the name Mastacembelus armatus (zig-zag eel). Its description in RNAcentral is "lncRNA (ENSMAMG00000028215.1)". The record is from RNAcentral. Lineage: Eukaryota; Metazoa; Chordata; Actinopteri; Synbranchiformes; Mastacembelidae.
UGAGGACGGAGGAGGGGGGAGCGUGGAGACACGUGUGGGAGGAAGAGGAGGAAGACGCCAGGAGGUGUCGCGUCGCCGUCACAUCACGAGUCCACAACCACAGAAACCUGCAGCUGUGUUUCAUCAACAACAGCGACAGUGAAGACGAGGAGGAAGGAAGCAACAGAAAGGUCAACGUGGGAACCGGCCACAACGGUUGCCACGCCAGCGGGCUGAAACAGGAAGUGGCCAUGACUCUGAGGACGCUGAGGGACAAGGUGCUGGCGGAACAGAAGGAGAAGGAGGUAAAGGGAAGGAAGGAUGAGCAAAAUGAAGAAGGGUAGCAGGCUGUGAGCAGGUGGACCAUUCUUUAAAAAACACUGACUUCAGCUCUGUGCUUUGCAGCGUCUGGCCGGCAGCAGCUGUGUCACCAAGCGGAAACAUCUGGAGCUCUGGGAGCUGCAGGAGUGUUCGGUGCAACAGCUCAGCAGCUUGAGAGCAUCACUGCAGCAGGACGUACAUGGUAAAUACAGACAAAUACUCCAAACACAGUCUGGACUGCAGCUCUGUUUGAAACAGCAACAACAUUAGUGACGUUUGCAUCUUUUGCUUUUCUGCAGCCCUGAGCUCCGAUCUGGUGACCCACCUGUUGGUACGAGACCAGCUGAGGACAAAGCAGGACGCCAUGCUGCUGGACGUCCAGGACCUGACCUAACACCAGGUCGGGAACAUGGACAGCCCGCACAAACCCGGUCGAGCAGUCGCUGGGCCCCUCAGGGACCAGGUCAGGCUGCUCGUCCACGUUUACUUCAACAAAACAUUAGCCAACCUGCUAAUUUAUCGGAGCUGAUCAAUCACCAGCAGGAGGAGAUAUGAGUCAAAGGGAAGUUAAAUAAUCUGAAAACCCAAAACAGGGUGAGACAUUGCUCUGGCAAACUUGAAACAGCAGGAUGAGUCUUCAACACCCGUCCAAAGGAAGGUUCGUUCAAGGCUGCACUUUGAUAUCAAGAUGAUGAGGAGUCACCAUGAACAGACACAAAGUCACGGUCCAAUCACCUUCUGGCCUGUGAGGACCGUGGUGAACUAACGAGGUCUGGAGACCAUCGAGAAGAAACACAAGCACAACACCGCUCUCACCUUAUUCAUCAGUUCGUCUAAACAGCCAUGUCAUUUGUGUUAGUGCUCAGGACCUGUGCUUGGUAUUGCACCCACAGAGGCUGGGAAAGGAAACAGACACGUCUAUAGACACCAGUGUGUCCAGUCAUCACAGCCACUGAAACCAGACGUCAGUCAUGUACGGAUGAUUGGCAGGUGAAACUAAAUGGUUGUGAGUAACAGUGGAGGAUGGUGGUGUUACAUUUUAGACAGUUUAACAACAUCUGGAUGACGUUACGUGAUCAGAUUGAUUGAAAACCAUAUGGGAACACGACGACAUCUGGAUUUACACAGUCCCAGCUUUGGACCACAUGACUUAAGCCUGUCUCCUAAAAGUUAUGUUCCUAUAAAACUUUAGAAACAAAUCCCUUGACAAUCCAGAUGCUAUUUCGCAUCAUUUCACAAAGUCACUAAACGAAUCUGUUCUCAUCGAUCGCAACAAACAAACAAACAACAUAUUUAUAUUACUGGAAGACACGUCACAGUGAAAACAAUCAUCCAAUCCUGAUUUUAAAAGACAAUAAUUUAAAGAGUAACUUAAAAUCCUCAAGGAUCAAAUCCAAACAAAUCAAUAUCAGAUCAGAUUGAUCAGUGCCAAUAUCCAGCCUUUACGAGGCUCGUUCAAUCCAGUUUGGUCUGUUUUUUUCCACUGAACUUUAAUGUAGGACUGAAAUGUUUUGGUGAAGUCUGUAUCAGGAGGGGUUCAUGGAGGAGGGUUCGGCUUCUUGUUCCGUCGGUAUAAAAGCAAAAUGAGCGACUCUAAGUUAUUUAAGUUUUAUUGUUUAUUACUUUUGCCUGUGAUUAUAACAAGGGAACAGUUCACUCACUCAGCAUGUGUAGCAACUUAACUGAGUCCUUGAUGUUUUUAUUGUUGUUUUUCUUAAAAAACAUAAGAGGAAUUUCACCAAAAUGUAUUUUAGGAUCUUCACGCUGAAAAAAAAAAAAGACUUUCUGGAAAUGUUGUUUUAAUUUGGGACAUAAGCUGAUUUAAACCUCUUUAAAUUUAAUAAUAGACUGUAAUAAUGAUUUAUAAAAAGGUUAAAGCUGAAGAGUCUUCAUUUUACAAUUUCAAAUAUCAGAUGAUUUUUUUAAUAUUACUUAGAUCUGAAAUAAAUAGUCAAUGAACUAAUUAGUCAAUAAAAAAUAAGCAAACAAUAUACGACAUCACAUUUGGCUUUGCAAAGUUAUCAGGAACACUUUUUCAUCAGUUUUACAAAUUAAUUUAUAAAAACAGGCCGAUUCCUUGAUAAAAUUACUAAUAUUACCAAAAAUAUAUUUGGUGGCAUUCCUCUUUAACAGAUGCUAAACAAUCAGGUACAGUCAGCGAUUCUGUUGCUGUUAAUAAGAAAUGCAAGGGAAUAAUCUACUUAAUAUAACUAAAUAUGUGUGAUGGUUUUUCUGUGUAACUCCAUGUUUACGUCAUGUUUGUUCACCUAAACGUGAAAAAGCUCCUGAACAUUUAAAGGGCAGAAAUGUAAAGACCUUGACACACCAGCCGAGGAUAUUACAGUGACUCAGAAAGUGCCUUUUUAUAAACAGAGCAACAGAGAAAUGAUGUUUUGAUUAUUUCCACAUUCCCUGAACUGUUCUGUAAAGAUGUGCAUUAAAGGACGUGACGUCGGAGACGUGAGGGACAAGUUGAACGUCCUGAAUAAUAAGAGUAAUAUUUCUUCCUGCCAGUAGCUAAUAAGUGAGCAGAUAGCUUUUUUUGUUUCACUGUGACUUUAAGAGUAUUUAGAGAAGUAUUUUAAAAUGUACAUAAAAUUAUUAUAAAUGUAUUUGGAAAUGUAAACAUUAAUUCUGAAAUAUAUUUUGAGCUAAAAAGAUGACACAUAUUGGUGGUUAUAUUUUUGUGUCCUUUCAUUUUGUGAAAAAGACUAAUUAUUUCUUUUUGUCAAUCAAUCAAUCAAUCGCCUAGUCGAUAGGGAUUUACUUUAGUAAAACAAAGUAAUACAAAUGACAACCCAAAUACUGCUGCUAAUGUAAAUGAAUAAGAAAUGAAUCAUUUACUGCUAAUAAUUUAAACCCACACCUCCAUUUUCCUUCACACACGUCCGUGCACAUUCAAUCACUUCUGAUAAAUAACCAGGAGAAUUAGAAAAUUAGGUUAAAUUGAAGAAUCAACCAGGGGAACAGCCUCUAUUUCUAGUGUUCGUUGACCUAAUUAACAUAGAGUGAACCUGGUGGUUACCGGCUUGGCUUGACUGAACCAGGACCAUAAUCUGGACUGAUACUUAAACUGAGGAGGGACCAUUUUCCUUGAUCUGUGAGAAAUGUCAGAUCUGAGGU